UUUUAAAAAAUUAUUAAUUUAUUAAUAAUAAAAAAUUUAUAAAUUUAUUAAAAAUUUUAUUAUUAUCAAAUUUAUAAAUUUAUUAUAAUAAAUUAUUUUUAUUAAUUGUUCCCGCCCCUAUUUUUAUUUUCAAAAUUUAAAAUUUAAAAUUUAACAUUUAAAAUUUUAUAUUUUAUAUUUUUCAAAUUUAAAUUUGAUCUUAAAUUUGAAGUUUGAAAUUUUAAAUUUUAAAUUUUAAAUUUUGAGAUUUUAAAUUUUAAAAUUUAAUUUGAAAUUUAAAAGUUAAAAUUUUAAAUUU
This 298-nucleotide long non-coding RNA is filed under the name Ananas comosus (pineapple). Its description in RNAcentral is "long non-coding RNA (ACOM_LNC037735)". Lineage: Eukaryota; Viridiplantae; Streptophyta; Magnoliopsida; Poales; Bromeliaceae. The record is from RNAcentral.